GGGGGAUAUUGCACAAUGGAGGAAACUCUGAUGCAGCAACGCCGCGUGAAGGAUGAAGGUUUUCGGAUUGUAAACUUCUUUAGUCAGGGACGAAAAAAUGACGGUACCUGAAGAAUAAGCCACGGCUAACUACGUGCCAGCAGCCGCGGCAAUACGUAGGUGGCAAGCGUUGUCCGGAAUUACUGGGUGUAAAGGGCGUGUAGGCGGGAAUGUAAGUCAGAUGUGAAAUCCCAGGGCUUAACCCGGGAGCUGCAUCUGAAACUAUGUUUCUUGAGUGCCGGAGAGGAAAGCGGAAUUCCUAGUGUAGCGGUGAAAUGCGUAGAUAUUAGGAGGAACACCAGUGGCGAAGGCGGCUUUCUGGACGGUAACUGACGCUGAGGCGCGAAAGCGUGGGGAGCAAAC
This 402-nucleotide ribosomal RNA is filed under the name uncultured bacterium. RNAcentral describes it as "bacterial SSU rRNA". It matches the Rfam family "Bacterial small subunit ribosomal RNA", at positions 356 to 773 of the family's 1533-position model. The record is from RNAcentral.